This 302-nucleotide ribosomal RNA is filed under the name uncultured bacterium. RNAcentral describes it as "partial 16S ribosomal RNA". It matches the Rfam family "Bacterial small subunit ribosomal RNA", at positions 508 to 807 of the family's 1533-position model. The record is from RNAcentral.
GCAGUAGCCGCGGGAAUACGAAGGGGGCUAGCGUUGCUCGGAAUGACUGGGCGUAAAGGGCGCGUAGGCGGCGAUCAAAGUCAGGCGUGAAAUUCCUGGGCUCAACCUGGGGGCUGCGCUUGAUACUUGGUUGCUUGAGUGGGGAAGAGGGUCGUGGAAUUCCCAGUGUAGAGGUGAAAUUCGUAGAUAUUGGGAAGAACACCGGUGGCGAAGGCGGCGACCUGGUCCUUGACUGACGCUGAGGCGCGAAAGCGUGGGGAGCAAACAGGAUUAGAUACCCCGGUAGUCCCUGUCUCUUAUAC